This 347-nucleotide ribosomal RNA is filed under the name Enterococcus faecalis. RNAcentral's name for it is "bacterial SSU rRNA". It matches the Rfam family "Bacterial small subunit ribosomal RNA", at positions 63 to 388 of the family's 1533-position model. Lineage: Bacteria; Bacillati; Bacillota; Bacilli; Lactobacillales; Enterococcaceae. The record is from RNAcentral.
CGAACGCUUCUUUCCUCCCGAGUGCUUGCACUCAAUUGGAAAGAGGAGUGGCGGACGGGUGAGUAACACGUGGGUAACCUACCCAUCAGAGGGGGAUAACACUUGGAAACAGGUGCUAAUACCGCAUAACAGUUUAUGCCGCAUGGCAUAAGAGUGAAAGGCGCUUUCGGGUGUCGCUGAUGGAUGGACCCGCGGUGCAUUAGCUAGUUGGUGAGGUAACGGCUCACCAAGGCCACGAUGCAUAGCCGACCUGAGAGGGUGAUCGGCCACACUGGGACUGAGACACGGCCCAGACUCCUACGGGAGGCAGCAGUAGGGAAUCUUCGGCAAUGGACGAAAGUCUGACC